Non-coding RNA from Pteropus alecto (black flying fox), 119 nucleotides. NCBI's taxonomy places the organism in Eukaryota, Metazoa, Chordata, Mammalia, Chiroptera, Pteropodidae. The record is from Rfam.
GUCCACGGCCAUGCUAUCCUGAACAAACUCAAUCCCAUCUGAUCUCGGAAGCUAAGCAAGGUCAGUCCUGGUUAGUACUUGGAUGGGAGACCAACUAGGAAGACCAGGUGCUAUAGGCG